GGGAGUUUGGUCUAGUGGUUAUUGAUUCUCGCUUCGGGUGCGAGGAGGCCGCGAGUUCGAUUCUCGCAACUCCCC
This 75-nucleotide transfer RNA is filed under the name Pleodorina starrii. RNAcentral's name for it is "tRNA-Pro". It matches the Rfam family "tRNA". From Rfam's summary of the family: Transfer RNA (tRNA) molecules are approximately 80 nucleotides in length. Lineage: Eukaryota; Viridiplantae; Chlorophyta; Chlorophyceae; Chlamydomonadales; Volvocaceae. The record is from RNAcentral.